RNAcentral lists this ribosomal RNA (497 nucleotides) under uncultured bacterium. Its description in RNAcentral is "partial 16S ribosomal RNA". It matches the Rfam family "Bacterial small subunit ribosomal RNA", at positions 28 to 507 of the family's 1533-position model. The record is from RNAcentral.
GAUGAACGCUGGCGGCGUGCCUAAUACAUGCAAGUCGAGCGAACAGACGAGGAGCUUGCUCCUCUGACGUUAGCGGCGGACGGGUGAGUAACACGUGGAUAACCUACCUAUAAGACUGGGAUAACUUCGGGAAACCGGAGCUAAUACCGGAUAAUAUAUUGAACCGCAUGGUUCAAUAGUGAAAGACGGUUUUGCUGUCACUUAUAGAUGGAUCCGCGCCGCAUUAGCUAGUUGGUAAGGUAACGGCUUACCAAGGCAACGAUGCGUAGCCGACCUGAGAGGGUGAUCGGCCACACUGGAACUGAGACACGGUCCAGACGCCUACGGGAGGCAGCAGUAGGGAAUCUUCCGCAAAGGGCGGAAGCCUGACGGAGCAACGCCGCGUGAGUGAUGAAGGUCUUCGGAUCGUAAAACUCUGUUAUUAGGGAAGAACAAAUGUGUAAGUAACUAUGCACGUCUUGACGGUACCUAAUCAGAAAGCCACGGCUAACUACGUG